RNAcentral lists this ribosomal RNA (1373 nucleotides) under uncultured bacterium. RNAcentral describes it as "bacterial SSU rRNA". It matches the Rfam family "Bacterial small subunit ribosomal RNA", at positions 28 to 1381 of the family's 1533-position model. The record is from RNAcentral.
GAUGAACGCUGGCGGCGUGCCUAAUACAUGCAAGUCGAGCGAACAGAUAAGGAGCUUGCUCCUUUGACGUUAGCGGCGGACGGGGGAGUAACACGUGGAUAACCUACCUAUAAGACUGGGAUAACUUCGGGAAACCGGAGCUAAUACCGGAUAACAUAUUGAACCGCAUGGUUCAAUAGUGAAAGGCGGCUUUGCUGUCACUUAUAGAUGGAUCCGCGCCGUAUUAGCUAGUUGGUAAGGUAACGGCUUACCAAGGCAACGAUACGUAGCCGACCUGAGAGGGUGAUCGGCCACACUGGAACUGAGACACGGUCCAGACUCCUACGGGAGGCAGCAGUAGGGAAUCUUCCGCAAUGGGCGAAAGCCUGACGGAGCAACGCCGCGUGAGUGAUGAAGGUCUUCGGAUCGUAAAACUCUGUUAUCAGGGAAGAACAAAUGUGUAAGUAACUGUGCACAUCUUGACGGUACCUGAUCAGAAAGCCACGGCUAACUACGUGCCAGCAGCCGCGGUAAUACGUAGGUGGCAAGCGUUAUCCGGAAUUAUUGGGCGUAAAAGCGCGCGUAGGCGGUUUUUUAAGUCUGAUGUGAAAGCCCACGGCUCAACCGUGGAGGGUCAUUGGAAACUGGAAAACUUGAGUGCAGAAGAGGAAAGUGGAAUUCCAUGUGUAGCGGUGAAAUGCGCAGAGAUAUGGAGGAACACCAGUGGCGAAGGCGACUUUCUGGUCUGUAACUGACGCUGAUGUGCGAAAGCGUGGGGAUCAAACAGGAUUAGAUACCCUGGUAGUCCACGCCGUAAACGAUGAGUGCUAAGUGUUAGGGGGUUUCCGCCCCUUAGUGCUGCAGCUAACGCAUUAAGCACUCCGCCUGGGGAGUACGACCGCAAGGUUGAAACUCAAAGGAAUUGACGGGGACCCGCACAAGCGGUGGAGCAUGUGGUUUAAUUCGAAGCAACGCGAAGAACCUUACCAAAUCUUGACAUCCUUUGACCGCUCUAGAGAUAGAGUCUUCCCCUUCGGGGGACAAAGUGACAGGUGGUGCAUGGUUGUCGUCAGCUCGUGUCGUGAGAUGUUGGGUUAAGUCCCGCAACGAGCGCAACCCUUAAGCUUAGUUGCCAUCAUUAAGUUGGGCACUCUAAGUUGACUGCCGGUGACAAACCGGAGGAAGGUGGGGAUGACGUCAAAUCAUCAUGCCCCUUAUGAUUUGGGCUACACACGUGCUACAAUGGACAAUACAAAGGGCAGCUAAACCGCGAGGUCAAGCAAAUCCCAUAAAGUUGUUCUCAGUUCGGAUUGUAGUCUGCAACUCGACUGCAUGAAGCUGGAAUCGCUAGUAAUCGUAGAUCAGCAUGCUACGGUGAAUACGUUCCCGGGUCU